CCUACGGGUGGCAGCAGUGGGGAAUAUUGGACAAUGGGGGCAACCCUGAUCCAGCGAUGCCGCGUGUGUGAAGAAGGCCUUCGGGUUGUAAAGCACUUUAGUUGGGGACGAAGUUUAUCAAUUGAUAAGGUUGAUAAGUUGACGGUACCCAAAGAAUAAGCACCGGCUAACUCUGUGCCAGCAGCCGCGGUAAUACAGAGGGUGCAAGCGUUAAUCGGAGUGACUGGGCGUAAAGGGCGCGUAGGCGGUGCGACAAGUGAGAUGUGAAAUCCCUGGGCUUAACCUAGGAAUAGCAUUUUAGACUGUCGGACUGGAGUACAGUAGAGGGUGGUGGAAUUUCCGGUGUAGCGGUGAAAUGCGUAGAGAUCGGAAGGAACAUCAGUGGCGAAGGCGGCCACCUGGACUGGUACUGACGCUGAGGCGCGAGAGCGUGGGGAGCA
RNAcentral lists this ribosomal RNA (440 nucleotides) under uncultured bacterium. RNAcentral describes it as "bacterial SSU rRNA". It matches the Rfam family "Bacterial small subunit ribosomal RNA", at positions 338 to 770 of the family's 1533-position model. The record is from RNAcentral.